Long non-coding RNA from Astatotilapia calliptera (eastern happy), 1281 nucleotides. NCBI's taxonomy places the organism in Eukaryota, Metazoa, Chordata, Actinopteri, Cichliformes, Cichlidae. The record is from Ensembl.
AGCAAACACCACCAGCUACAUUCAACAAACCUCCUGCAUCACCACUUAAAAAAUCUACAUGCACUUCUGUGCAAGGGUUACCCAGUUUACAGGAUUUAAUGACAAAUGAUGCACAAGUUCCACCAGAAUAUGCACAUGAUAACCACGAAAAACUUCCAUUAGCUUCCAUUUUAACACCACAAUUAGAAAGUGUCUCAGGUUACACACCAGCAAGCCAGUGUCACACAGUAUAUUCAAAGCAUUCCUCCAACUCAACCACUUCACUCCAACCAAACAAUCUUGGAGAGUUUAAUGAUGAAGAAAGCGCCACUAAUCACCACGUUAGACCCACGAUCCAGCUGUUUAAGCUGGACGACUUAGACCACGCAAAGUGGUGUAUAUUCAAGGCCCACUGGGAGCAGCUAAAAGAGAUGGAAGCUUUAUGUCGUAAAGAGGGGAAGCUUCUGUGCCAGCAGCCUGAUAUGGCAUUUGGAGAAUAUGUCCAGCAGCUGGAGGAAAUCAUGGAGAAAAAGGCUUGGUGUGUACACAGCAUGAGAGCUCAGCUACAGCCAUAUCUGAAGCCCAUCACCUCAAUCCACCCACAGGGAGCAGACGAUCACAGAUCAACUAGUUGAAUUUGAGUUAAUAAUACUUAUGUUUUUGUGCAAUGUUUUCAGUGACAACAAUAACUGCAGCUUGCUACAUAUCGUACAUAUAUGGUCAUCCUAUAUGCUUUGUUAUGUUUAAGUAAAUUGAGCUUGAUGAGUUCUUGGACAGCUGUCACUUGAUGUGUUUGAUGUCAAAAUGCAUGAUGCACUAAGGGUUUUACUGGUGAAACGUACAAUCAUAUGUUUUUCUUUCAUGGUGACAGUAAUAUAUAUGGAAUUCUGAUUCUGCCACUAAAGAUAGUUCUUUCUAUCUAUUUUUUCUUAGCCUCUGUCCAUGAAAACUGCUGAUUUUGUAAUUUUUCAUUAAAGAAAAUCUUUGGUUUUAAUCUUAAUGCAUGUUUUAUUCACAGCACCACUAUCUGGACAAAGCUAAAUCUGUGUCUCUGGGUUGACAACUCAUAGAACCACGCAUUUGUUUGAGCUUGAUCUCAGAUUGUAAUAGAAAUGCUUGCUUAGCAGACUGUUUUCUAGUGUUAAAUUUUUUAAGAUUUCAAGAUUGCUGAUAUCUGUUAUGUUGUGAUCUCUGAAUUUGAAAUCUUCCUCUUUAAAUGUCAGUGUUUAACUUUGGGUAAUGUGUGCACAUUUUUCCACAGAGGGCAACUGAAAAUCAAUAAAAUAAGGACUAAAAAAAGUA